Molecule: long non-coding RNA, 833 nt
Organism: Panicum virgatum (switchgrass)
Lineage: Eukaryota; Viridiplantae; Streptophyta; Magnoliopsida; Poales; Poaceae
Exons: 3
Source: RefSeq, a predicted model, not a curated record
CUCGGGCCGGCGCUCUCCUCCCCGAGCUCAGGCCAGUGGUGCAGAUAUGUGUGCUUCUCCACCCCGUGCACUUCCUUCUUUGCAUCAUUAGUUGGAAUUUUAAUUUCAUCUGUGAUUUUUCAGUUAAUCUCACCAACUACAUCUUAGAUUCUAUACUUUACACUUUGAUAGACUAUAUGGGACUACCUGCCACUGCAAUUGGAGUCAUUCUUUUCACAAGAGUUGCCAAUUUGUUUUCCCUUGCCAAGAUGCUUUCAACUAGGAUGAGUUUUGAUUAUUAGUUCCAAAAUUAUUCAUUUCAUUAUAAAUCUGUACACAAGCUUGCAGGAGAAUAAUCAUGCUUCAACCUAUAGGUGCCAUGAUGAUUUUUGUUUUAAUGAAUUUGAAGUACCAGACAUUUGGAGGCAACUAGCUCGAGUGUACUUGCAGGAGUGCUGCAUUUGCCUCAGCCUAUGAUAUGCAGAGUUCCAUGACUUCUGUCUGUUAUUCAAUUAUCAAGGUACAAAAAUACAAUAGGAUGGAGUUAGCACAAACUGUCAUCCUUUAUAUCACAGCAGUUGAACUUCAAGGUUAACUUCAGUUACCUAUUGUUUGAGUUAAGAAUUAUUUGAGCUAUUUACAAGUUCAUAAAACUAGCUGGGAGUCAGAGAUACAAUGAGUUGUAUAUAGAAUUUUAAGCACUAUGAUAUAUUAUAAGUUCUCUUAGAUCUGCAAAGAUGUAUAUGUACUGUAGUAGUCAUUUUUAUGGAAAUAACUUGAUGGAUGGCAAUGUGAUCAGUAUGUACAAAUUGUAGGCAAUGUGAACUGAGAAAUCUUGUAUGCAGUUCUGGAUG